UACGGGGGGAGCAAGCGUUGUUCGGAUUUAUUGGGCGUAAAGCGUGCGUAGGCGGCUGCGCAAGUCGGGUGUGAAACCCCGGGGCUCAACCCCGGAACUGCAUCCGAUACUGCGUGGCUAGAGGUAGGUAGGGGAGAUCGGAAUUCCUGGUGUAGCGGUGAAAUGCGCAGAUAUCAGGAAGAACACCAAUGGCGAAGGCAGCUCUCUGGGACGGUACUGACGCUGAGACGCGAAAGCGUGGGGAGCGAACAGG
This 253-nucleotide ribosomal RNA is filed under the name uncultured bacterium. RNAcentral's name for it is "partial 16S ribosomal RNA". It matches the Rfam family "Bacterial small subunit ribosomal RNA", at positions 524 to 776 of the family's 1533-position model. The record is from RNAcentral.